Molecule: ribosomal RNA, 692 nt
Filed under: uncultured bacterium
Lineage: Bacteria
Description: bacterial SSU rRNA
Rfam family: Bacterial small subunit ribosomal RNA
Source: RNAcentral
AUGCUUAACACAUGCAAGUCGAACGCGAAAACGGCUUCGGCCGUAAGUAGAGUGGCAAACGGGUGAGUAACGCGUGGGUGACCUACCUUCGAGUGGGGGAUAACGUUUCGAAAGGAACGCUAAUACCGCAUAACAUCCCGUCUUUGGAAAGAUGGUGAUCAAAGCUGGGGAUCGUAAGACCUGGCACUUGAUGAGGGGCCCGCGUCCGAUUAGCUUGUUGGUGGGGUAAUGGCCUACCAAGGCGACAAUCGGUAUCCGGCCUAAGAGGGCGGACGGACACACUGGGACUGAGACACGGCCCAGACUCCUACGGGAGGCAGCAGUGGGGAAUUGUUCGCAAUGGACGAAAGUCUGACGACGCAACGCCGCGUGGAGGACGAAGACCUUCGGGUCGUAAACUCCUGUCGAGUGGGACGAAAACCACCCGGGUUAAUAGCCCGGGAGGCUGACGGUACCAUUAAAGGAAGCCCCGGCUAACUCCGUGCCAGCAGCCGCGGUAAUACGGGGGGGGCAAGCGUUGUUCGGAAUUACUGGGCGUAAAGAGCUCGUAGGCGGCUUGUUUAGUCGGACGUGAAAUCCCUUGGCUUAACUGAGGAACUGCGUCCGAUACUGGCAGGCUUGAAUCCGGGAGAGGGAUGCGGAAUUCCAGGUGUAGCGGUGAAAUGCGUAGAUAUCUGAAGGAACACCAGUGG